RNAcentral lists this unclassified non-coding RNA (345 nucleotides) under soil metagenome. Its description in RNAcentral is "partial contains 5.8S ribosomal RNA, internal transcribed spacer 2, and large subunit ribosomal RNA". The stretch from base 1 to 119 matches the Rfam family "5.8S ribosomal RNA", at positions 35 to 154 of the family's 154-position model. The record is from RNAcentral.
GAUGAAGAACGUAGCGAAAUGCGAUACGUAAUGUGAAUUGCAAAUUCAGUGAAUCAUCGAGUCUUUGAACGCACAUUGCGCCCCCUGGUAUUCCGGGGGGCAUGCCUGUCCGAGCGUCAUUGCUGCCCUCAAGCACGGCUUGUGUGUUGGGCCCCGUCCUCCGAUCCCGGGGGACGGGCCCGAAAGGCAGCGGCGGCACCGCGUCCGGUCCUCGAGCGUAUGGGGCUUUGUCACCCGCUCUGUAGGCCCGGCCGGCGCUUGCCGAUCAACCCAAAUUUUUAUCCAGGUUGACCUCUGAUCAGGUAGGGAUACCCGCUGAACUUAAGCAUAUCAAUAAGCGGAGGA